UGUAGUUUUGAUUUUUAUUCAUUUUUAGAUUUUUAUUGUAUUUACAACUCACCUGUAUUUGGACACCUUUUAAAAACAAAUGCAUAUAAUAAUUUUUUGGUGCAAAUAAAACUCUCAUAGUCCAUAAAUACUGUAGAUUUAACUUUGUUUAAUACAUACAUUUAGUUAAAUCAUCAAACAUCUGUAUGACUUGCCAGUGACUUGCUUGACUCAAGCUAAGACUUGACUUGAAUUGCUUGACGUUAAGCAGUGACUUGACUUGACUUGACUUGACUCUCACAAAAAAUGACUCGGACUUGCUUGAGACUUGAAGGUUAAGACUUGAGACUUACUUGAGACUUGCACAUGUGUGACUUACUCCCACCUCUGACCAUAAGGUAUCUGCCAUUUCUAUCAGCAAUAACAUCGGUAGGUAGAAACUGAAUAUUUUUACUGAUCAAGAUAGCAACUCCUCUUGAUUUAAAGUUAAAGUUAGAAUGAAAGACAUGCCCUAUCCAAGAAGCCUGCAGUCUACAAUGAUCUUUAGAUUUGAGAUGAGUUUCUUGCAAAAACACUAUGUCGGAAUUAAGCCGUUUCAAAUGGCUAAAAACUUUACCACGUUUAGAUGGGCUACUCAUGCCACGUAUAUUCCAGCUAAUGAAAUGAUACACACACGAAGACCCAUGAAUAUAUACACACCCCAGGAAAAGGAAAAAAAAAAAAAAAAGGAAUAGAAGAAAAAAAAGUCUCCAAAAGGGAGACAAUUACACAAAAACAAGAGAGAAAAAACAUUGAUGCCACGAGAUUGUGAUAUCAACUCGGAGAAUAGCCUGAGACUAAGCUGUAGUAGAGAGAUAGAUAAUUCCCACCGAGUCUUAAUACUGAAAAUGUAAAUGUAAUGUAAACCCCAUUAUACCCUGUUCCAAAUUAUUAUGCAAAUAAUAUUUUUCUCAUUUACCUAAAUAAUUGAUGUAAAUAACAGUCAGCAUAAUUCUCAUGUUAUCAACUAUUAAGAGUUAUAACAACAUUUUAACUUUUUAAACAUUUUAACAGGUCACGUUACAUUUUAACAUAGGACCCUUAUUUGAUAGCAGCUUCACAAGUCUUGCAUCCAUUGAACUUGUGAGUUUUUGUACAGUUUCUGCUUGAAUUUGUUUGCAAGAUGUCAGAAUAGCCUCCCAGAGCUGCUGUUUGGAUGUAAACUGUUUCCCACCCUCAUAGAUCUUUUGCCUGAGGAUGCUCCAAAGGUUCUCAAUAGGAUUGAGGUCAGGGGAGGAUGGAGGCCACACCAUGACUUUCUCUCCUUUUAUCCCCAUAGCAGCCAUUGAUGCAGAGGUAUUCUUUGCAGCAUGAGAUGGUGCGUUGUCAUGCAUGAAGAUGACUUUAUUACGGAAAGCAUAGUUCUUCCUUCUGUACCAGGGAAGAAAGAGGUAAGUCAGAAACUCUACAUACUUUGCAGAAGUCAUCUUUACACCUUCGGGGACCCUAAAGGGGCUGAUCAGCUCUCUUCCCAUGAUUCCGGCCCAAAACAUGACUCCACUACCGCCUUGCUGACGUUGUAGCCUUGUUGGAACAGGUUGGCCGUCCACCAACCAUCCACUACUCCAUCCAUCUGGACCAUCCAGGGUUGCACAGCACUCAUCAGUGAACAGGACUGUUUGAAAAUUAGUCUUCAUGUAUUUUUCUGCGAAAUGCAGCCGUUUCUGCUUGUGAGCAUUGGUUAGUGGUGGCCGAAUAGAAGGUUUAUGCACAGUUGAAAGACUCUGGAGGACUCUACACCUUGAUGUCCGUGGGACUCCAGAGGCACCAGCAGCUUCAAAUAUCUGUUUGCUGCUAUGUAAUGGUAUUUUAGCAGCUGCUCUCUUGAUCCAAUGCAUGGAUCUGGCAAUCUUCCUCAAUGUGCCUUUAUCUGCACGAACCCGUCUGUGCUCUGAAUCAGACACAAAUCUCUUAAUAGUGUGAUUAUCACGCUUAAGUUUUCGUGAAAUAUCUAAUGUUUUCAUACCUCAUCAAAGGCAUUGAACUAUUUCACUCUUUUCGGCAGCAGAGAGAUCCUUUUUCUUCCCCGUAUUGCAUGGAAAUUGUGCUCUGCUUAAUAAUGUGGAACACCCUCCUUUAGUAGUUUUUCCUUCAAUUGGGCUCACCUGGCAAUCUAAUUAUAACAGGUGUCCAAGAUUGUUUUCAGUGAUCAAAAGAGCCCUGAGACACAGUGCCAUCCAUGAGUUAAACUGAAAAACAAAAUAUUUCAUCUUUGUGACACUUAAAUAGAAUUUUCAUAAUAAUUUGGAACAGGGUGUAUAUAAACAGGAAGUAAACACAUACUGAUAUUACCGUAUUACUGCAGAAUAAAUCUACCCAAUGUUCAUCGUUUUUAUAUACUUCUUGGCCUCUUCUGCAGAAACAAAGUCUUUUUCCACACCUUUAUAUGUAAUCCGCAGACGAGCCGGAAAGAAAAGACCAUAACGAACCCCUUCCAGGCCGUGCAGUUGCCUCCUAACCUUGGCUGUGUGGUCGGGGAAAACGGACAUCUUUAUUUCUCCCACAGCAUCUUGUCGUCUCUCUCUGGCACACCGUAGAACAUUCUCACAGUCGCUAUAAUGAAACCUGGCAAUAACAGUGCGCAGUCGCUCACCGUGUUUGGGCUUCGGCUGAGAGGUUCUACUGUAUGUGCUCGGUCUAACAGCGGUGUUUCAUCCAGUUUAAAAGCUUCCUUCAGCAGUGUAGAGACAACCGUAGUGUUAAUGACGGUAUCCUAGGGAAUCCCGACUAUCCUAAUGUUAUUCCGUCGCAACCGAGAUUCGAGGUCCUCACACUUAUUUUGCAGCGGAGCAAACUCUGUGUUUAAUAAUUUAAAAAAAUAAAAAAAGUUGGUGUAUAAUUUUAUGUUCACCAGUGAUAUUUAAAUGCAGUUAUUUUGUUUAAGCCGGAGGGGAGAAAGUGCUUCGUGGGCCUUCUGUGUGUUUCUGGGUGAGCGUGAAGCAUCAGUGUUGUUCACUUUUAGUAAUUUCACAAAAGGUGUUCAUUGGUCAUGUACAUACAUACACUUAUUGAAAUGAGUGCAAUAUUAUUAAUGCUUAAUGAUUUAAUGUCAUGUGUUCUUUAAUAUAUGCAGAGAAGUCUGUCAUAUGCUGUGAUAGUGUGUGCAUGUGCCAGAGUUGGGAUAAAAAAUAAGUUUGAGACAUUGUAAUUCAUUUCAUUCUAGUUAUUUACUGUGUUGUAAUACCUAGUUUUAAGUAGACAAGCAAGUGUUAUGUUGUGUCAUGAUAUGUGUAAGGUUUAAACUGUAUUAUGCAUUAAUCACACAAUGUAACAUGUUAUGAAGGACUGUAUCUUCAUGUACUCUUAUGUUACCUAAGCAGCCUUAUUUAGUCUUCUGUGCAGAUGUUAUAUCCAGAUUUUAUAUUCAUGUGUCUGUUUGUUUUCUAAAAUCAGGGGCUUCUACCGUUGUCUAUUGUUGUCUAUGUUAGGUUUAUAUUGUUGUCUAUGUUAGGUCUAUUGUUGGCUAUGUUAGGCUUACAUAUGUUAGGCCUACUGUAGGUUAUAUCCAUGUUAGUUGGUUAAAAAAUGAUAUAUGCACUGUUAUGAGGGAAGCUGACUUUUUGAUUGUCAACAAUUUUAUUUACUAAAUCCUACCUUUCCAACAUCUUCCCCAAAGUUUAAUUAAUGCCCCAAAAUUAAUGCUGCACUGUUUAACAUACAGUCCACAAAUCUGUACCAGAAGAUAAUCCAGAAAACAAGAAAAUCAGAACAAGAGAGCAAGUGUCAUAUAUGGUAAAGGAUGCAAUGGUAUAAAUGUUUCAGAAGUUAAAUACAUCAUCAUAUAAUGUCUCACAAUAUUUAUUAUAUGGUUAACAUGAAUAAUUUCUACACCUUUUUUCUUUUAACAGUUUGUGUUAUCUGGCAGGGGAACUCGUAAAAUGUCUGAAAGCUCAAGGACAAAAGAUUUCUAUUAAAGAUAUCCUCUGUGUUCAGAUUGCAGGAUUGUGCCAUGACCUAGAAACCACUUCACCUCCUCUCGCAGCUCAUACAACCGCUGUAGCACCUGCCCCCUGGAGAGCCAGCGAACUUCAGUGUGCAGAAGCAGCUGUUCAUGCCCUGACCCCAUCUCCUGGCAGAGGACCCUAAACAAGCGAGAGUUUAGAGGCCGUGAUUUGAUGAGAUUUAUCGUUUUCACGGAUUGGUUCAGCACGGAGUAAAAGAGACAUUUUUUUUAGCAGCUAGUGCUUCACGAUGGACCAUGCAAUGUGUCCAUUUCACAAGUGGAGCUACUUGCUGAACGCGAGCAGCUAGGCCACGCUCACGCCCCGUCAUUGCCUGCGCACCAUCUGUGCAUAGUCCAAAGCAUCGGUCCCAAGCCAAACCAUUUUCACGGAUAAAAAUAUCAAGGACACUGAAAAUGGCUUCUCCUGUAGUGUGCAACCGAAGAGGCCGGCAAAACAGGACAUCCUCCUCAAUCACCUUGUCCCGCAGAUACCUGACAUAGGUGAGGAGCUGUGCCUGCCCAGCAAUAUCAGUGGAUUCAUCCAGCUGCAGCACAUAGUAAGGACUCUUUUUUAUGAACUUUGCCAGUUGCUCUCUGAUAUCGUUGGACAUGUCUACAAUUCUCCUAGCGACUGUGUCAUUAGACAGUGGUACUGCACCGAGUUUGUCUGCUGCACUACAUCCUGAAUCUAUCAUUAUUCUGCACAUGUCUUGCGCUGCCGGCAAAAUGAGAGUCUCGGCGAUUGUAUGUGGUUUACCCAGUUUACUGAUUCUUUUGGCCACUACAUACGAUGCCUCCAAACACUGUUUAGACACAGUGCUGUGCACUGAAAUGGUUGCCUGUUGCUGAUGGAGGCCAUCAAGCUUUCUUUUAAAAUAUUCAGCCAGUUUAUUUUUAAUGCCAGCGUGCUUUGUUUCGAGGUGCCUUUUUAAUUUGCAGGGCUUCAUACUGUCGUUUGCCAGCACCUCGGCACACACGACACACUGAGGUCUCAUAUCAGCCGUGACUGUAAACCCAAACUGCAGAUAUGCUUCAUCGUACCUUCGAAGCUUUUUUGCAGCUGGUGUUGUGUCGGUUGGCUUGCUGGUCCUCACAAGAAAUUUCUCCAUUUUUGUUAUGUGUCUUCAAUAUUCAAGUUUAGGCAAUAUGUAAUGUGCGAGUGUGUGGCUAUGUUGAGAGACGUAUCGGGGGCUAAUCAGUCGGGACUUAGGCACAAUCUUUAAUAAAACGAACAAAAUAAUUAUUAUUUUGCAGACAAUUCAGAUUUUAUUUUAAUACAUAACGAUUGUAGUCCUUCGUCAGUGUGUGUGUGUGUGUGUGUGUAUGUGUGUGUCUUAGUCGCGUGGGUGGUUUUUAGCUAGACUCGUGCUUUCGAGUCUCCAAACACCACAAAAGUCUCCAAAAACACCAGUAAAAGUCGCUGGAUUUGUCGCUUUUGACAAAAAAAAGUCGCCAGGAGGAUGAUUUGUUUGUGUUAUAAUCAGUGCUUCAGGUGGGGUAAAAAGGUGGCGGUACUCUCUUUGCAUUGGCAAAUCAUGACAUUUUUACAUUGAAAAACAAAACUUGGAGAUAUUGCUGUUCCAACAACAAAUUAUUUUUAUUUAUUAACAACAUAAAUGUAUUUAAACAUGUUUGUGUGUGCGUGGCUGCGUGCGUGUGAGCAUUUCUUUACAAAGACAUCUAAACAUUUUCUUUUUAGGAGUUGGUCAUUAAUAAACUUGAUAGUCUUGAAGUUUGUUAAGAUGGCAUACAACAAUUGCAUCUAGAUGUUAAACAACAAAAACAACCAAGAAAACAGCCCUGGGGCCUGUUGCACAAAAGUAGAAUUAAGACAUCCAGGAUAAAUGACUGAGCUGAGCUCAAUGAAUCCAAAACACGUGCGUCCAGGCUUAAUUGGUUGCACAAAGACCAAGCCAGGAUGAGCAGACACGGAUUCAUCAAGCCAGGUGUAACCAAUCCUGGAUAUGUGCGCGCUCACGUCUCACUCAAAUAGACCCGCCACCGAUCACAGAUUCACUGAUUCACCAUGACAACUAGAGCGGCGUACUUUUCCCCGUCGGAGGCACAAAUCCUCCUGGAGGCAUACGAGGAGAUAAAAGAAAUAAUUAAGAAGAAAGUCAACACCGCCACAGUGAUCAAACAAAGAGAAAAAGCGUGGCAAAGUAUUGCAGACCGACUGAAUGCAUCGUCUGCAAUGCUGACUGUGUGAUCAGCAAUGUUGUGGCAAAAUGGCCUGGCUCAGUCCAUGACUCCAGAAUCUUUCGGGCCUCUGAAAUCUAUCAGCACCUAUCACAAGGUGAAUUCUCUGGUGUGUUGCUGGGAGACAGGGGGUAUGGCUGCCAGCCUUUUCUCCUGACACCUUUCACAGACCCCCAGGAAGCGGGCCUACAACCACGCCCAUGCCCGGAUCAGGGCCAGAGUUGAAAUGGCCUUUGGCCUCCUGAAAGCACGCUUUCACUGCCUACACAAAUUAAGGGUCAGCCCUGUGAGGGCAUGUGACAUUACUGUGGCUUGUGCUGUUCUC
Tachysurus vachellii is the source of this 6485-nucleotide RNA transcript. It is a transcript of the gene named putative nuclease HARBI1, with no coding region annotated. NCBI's taxonomy places the organism in Eukaryota, Metazoa, Chordata, Actinopteri, Siluriformes, Bagridae. The record is from RefSeq and is a predicted model, not a curated record. The transcript is spliced from 4 exons.